CCUAACUUUAGAGAAGACGAAAAUUGGUUAAUAAUAAGAAAACACAUAAAGUUUUUAAAGAGAAAUAACAAAUAAACUUAAAAUUGUCUCACAUCUACAAGUACCUGAACAGAUUCGAGCAACAAGAGACUAGGGCUUUAAAAGAAUGACUGAGAUGAAAGAAAAUAUGGUUUGGAACCAUAGAUUCGAGCUAUAAACACGAAGAUAAUAGUACUCACAAAUGGAGAUGAUCAUAGGUAGGUCCGUAAAAAGGUUUUUGAAUGAAUCUGAGUUGAAUAUCCUUGAGUUUCCUCUAUAUAACAACAAAAUCGAACAACCAAAAGAGGUAUGAGAUCGGUAUGGGCCGGAAAUCACCAGAUGAACCCUUAUCUGGUCAAGAAUCGAAAGGUUUAAGGGUUUUUUCGAGUGAUGUCCCUCCAGGGUUUGAGAGUGUCUUACAGAGAAGAAAGGAGGAUAUGAUUUGGGGGCAGCGCAAUUGGAGAGAAUGGGUAGGGUUUGGG
RNAcentral lists this long non-coding RNA (500 nucleotides) under Nicotiana benthamiana. RNAcentral's name for it is "long non-coding RNA (NBEN_LNC024786)". Lineage: Eukaryota; Viridiplantae; Streptophyta; Magnoliopsida; Solanales; Solanaceae. The record is from RNAcentral.